AGUUGAACACUGGAUGACUGACAGCUGUCCUUCAUCACAACAGAAGACACAGAAAUCCUCCUCAUCAAAAACAUGACUUUGAUCUGCGUCCUCAUCUGGACUCUCCUCUGCUUCACUCAGGGGUCUGAUGGACAAAAUGUUGUUGUGACUCAGUCAGCAGCCAAAUCAGUGCAGCUCGGCCAGACUGUUACUAUUGACUGUAAGGCCAGUCAGGCACUUUUAACAUCUUCUUGCGGCCGCAGUUCACAGGUCUGCCUGUCCUGGUACCACCAGAAACGUAGAGAAGCUCCUAAAGCUCUGAUCUACCUAACAUCAGACAGAUUUUCAGGAAUCUCCUCCAGGUUCAGUGGAAGUGGAGCAGGGAAUGGAUUAGACUUCACUCUGACCAUCAGUGGAGUCCAGGCUGAAGAUGUAGGAGUUUAUUACUGUCAGAGUUAUCAUUACAUCAACAGUCAGUAUGUGUUCACACAGUGAAAAACCAUCGUACAAAAACCUCCCUCAGUCUGACUGAACAGAAACUGAACUUUGUUCUGCAGCUGGAAUCUGCUGCAGAACAUUGAUACAGUUCACUGAACAAACACAGUAGACACACAUUUCAUCAGUUUCUAUUAAACUUUAGGAUAAAUUCAACAACCACCUCUUUGAUAAUAAUAAUAAUAACAAUAAUCUUUAUAUUAUACCCUAUUCAGAUAUAAAUCACAAAGUACUUUACAGAGUGCCAGUAGAUUAAAUACAAGUAAAGGCUUAAUAUAAAACAGAAAAAGUAAGAACAGCUAAUAAAACAUUUAACUAAAA
Molecule: non-coding RNA, 795 nt
Organism: Girardinichthys multiradiatus
Lineage: Eukaryota; Metazoa; Chordata; Actinopteri; Cyprinodontiformes; Goodeidae
Source: the annotation of a RefSeq genome assembly